This 489-nucleotide ribosomal RNA is filed under the name uncultured bacterium. RNAcentral describes it as "bacterial SSU rRNA". It matches the Rfam family "Bacterial small subunit ribosomal RNA", at positions 28 to 526 of the family's 1533-position model. The record is from RNAcentral.
GACGAACGCUGGCGGCGUGCCUAACACAUGCAAGUCGAGCGGGGUCCAUCCAGUGGCAACACUGGGGAAGACCUAGCGGCGAACGGGUGAGUAACACGUGAGAAACCUGCCCUGAACUCUGGGAUAACCCGAGGAAACUCGAGCUAAUACCGGAUGCCCCCACCGGAUCGCAUGGUCUGGUGAGGAAAGAUUUAUCGGUUCAGGAGGGUCUCGCGGCCUAUCAGCUAGUUGGCGGGGUAACGGCCCACCAAGGCAUCGACGGGUAGCUGGUCUGAGAGGACGAUCAGCCACACUGGGACUGAGACACGGCCCAGACUCCUACGGGAGGCAGCAGUGGGGAAUAUUGCGCAAUGGGCGAAAGCCUGACGCAGCAACGCCGCGUGCGGGAUGAAGGCCUUCGGGUUGUAAACCGCUUUCAGUGGGGACGAAAACAGACGGUACCCACAGAAGAAGCCCCGGCCAACUACGUGCCAGCAGCCGCCGUAAAAC